AACGAACGCUGGCGGCAUGCCUAACACAUGCAAGUCGAACGAAGAUAUGGCUUCGGCCAUAGACUGAGUGGCGCACGGGUGAGUAACGCGUAGGAAUUUACCUUUCGGUGGGGGACAACUGAUGGAAACGUCAGCUAAUACCGCAUACGCUCUACGGAGGAAAGAUUUAUUGCCGAAAGAUAAGCCUGCGUUAGAUUAGGUUGUUGGUGAGGUAAAAGCUCACCAAGCCGAUGAUCUAUAGCUGGUCUGAGAGGAUGAUCAGCCACACUGGGACUGAGACACGGCCCAGACUCCUACGGGAGGCAGCAGUGGGGAAUAUUGGACAAUGGGGGCAACCCUGAUCCAGCAAUGCCGCGUGAGUGAAGAAGGCCUUAGGGUUGUAAAGCUCUUUCAACUGUGAAGAUGAUGACGGUAACAGUAGAAGAAGCUCCGGCUAACUCCGUG
RNAcentral lists this ribosomal RNA (444 nucleotides) under uncultured bacterium. Its description in RNAcentral is "bacterial SSU rRNA". It matches the Rfam family "Bacterial small subunit ribosomal RNA", at positions 29 to 507 of the family's 1533-position model. The record is from RNAcentral.